AGACCCAGCGAAAUGUAAACAAACGCACCAGUCAGACUUGAUAUAGGAGUGAAUUUGUUGCUUUUUAAAGCGGCAGUCGGUCUGUACAUGUGUGAGGUGGCGAGGGGUGUCGCCAGGGGGCGGCUAGUAGCGUCUGCCACCAGGGAAAUAUGUAAAAACAUAAAAAAGACGCUUCUCAAGAAAGAGAGGGGCAGUCGGUCUGUACAUGCGUGAGGUGGCGAGAGGCGUGUCCAGGGGGCGGCUAGUAGCGUGUGCCACCGUGGAAAUAUGUACAGACAUAAAGAAGACGCCCUCAAGAAAGGCCUGAGUCCAGACCGAGACCCAGAGAAAUGUAAACAAACGCACCAGUCAGACUUGAUAUAGGAGUGAAUUUGUUGCUUUUUAUAGCGGCAGUCGGUCUGUACAUGUGUGAGGUGGCGAGGGGUGUCGCCAGGGGGCGGCUAGUAGCGUCUGCCACCAGGGAAAUAUGUAAAAACAUAAAAAAGACGCUUCUCA
This is a long non-coding RNA of Scylla paramamosain (green mud crab), 495 nucleotides long. RefSeq lists it as uncharacterized. The record is from RefSeq and is a predicted model, not a curated record. Lineage: Eukaryota; Metazoa; Arthropoda; Malacostraca; Decapoda; Portunidae. The transcript has 3 exons.